UACGAAGGGGGCUAGCGUUGUUCGGAAUCACUGGGCGUAAAGCGCGCGUAGGCGGAUUGUUAAGUCGGGGGUGAAAUCCUGAGGCUCAACCUCAGAACUGCCUUCGAUACUGGCAAUCUCGAGUCCGGAAGAGGUUGGUGGAACAGCUAGUGUAGAGGUGAAAUGCGCAGAUAUCAGGAAGAACACCCGUGGCUAAGGCGGCUCUCUAGUACGGUACUGACGCUGAGACGCGAAAGCGUGGGGAGCGAACAGG
This 253-nucleotide ribosomal RNA is filed under the name uncultured bacterium. RNAcentral's name for it is "partial 16S ribosomal RNA". It matches the Rfam family "Bacterial small subunit ribosomal RNA", at positions 524 to 776 of the family's 1533-position model. The record is from RNAcentral.